CUCCCUGUUGAUGCAUGGCAGUUUGUUUGUACUAUGUAACUUUGUUUCUUUUUUGCACAUUUUAGGUUUGAGCCAGCCAUCAUAACUUCAAGAUAUGCAAGUUUCGCUUAUGCUGGACAUCAGCAGCAACAAUCUUAGUCUCAUCAUCGCUUGGAUAUGCAGCAUCCAGUUUUAUUGGAAAACUACCGAUGUCUGUCGAGUUACGGAUCUCUUCUUCCCCUUGUCCUUGUGUACACCCAUGUGUGUGUGGGCGUAUUCACGAGGACCCCCUUUUUCCGAUCCUGCCUGGUGGAUUCAACUCUGCAGCAGAAGGAGCACUUGUGGGAUGCCUGGCUGUAUUUCCCAGGCACAAAGUCGUUUCCCUUAGGCCCUCGUAAACAAACAAACGAGCAGAUGUUGGCAUUUUUAUGGAUCCUGACAGCUGAAAUAGCUCCCGAAAGACGACGACGAAGAAGAAGAGCUUGCUGUAUCU
Molecule: long non-coding RNA, 472 nt
Filed under: Daphnia pulicaria
Lineage: Eukaryota; Metazoa; Arthropoda; Branchiopoda; Diplostraca; Daphniidae
Description: uncharacterized LOC124311715, transcript variant X1
Source: RNAcentral